GGGUUCAGCUGGGUGCUGUUAGGGGCAAUGGGUGCUUUAGGGUGCCACUGGGGGGCAAUGGGUUCAGUUGGGUGCCAUUAGGGGCAAUGGGUGCUGUUGGGUGAUACUGGGGGGCAAUGGGUGCUGUUGGGGGGCACUGGGUUCAGGUGGGUGCCAUUAGGGGCAAUGGGUGCUGUUGGGUGCCACUGGGGAGCAAGGGGUACUGUUGGGUGUUGGGUGCCAUUGCAGGGCAAUGGGUAGCACUGGGGGGGCAACUGGUGCAUUUGGGGGGCAGUGGGUGCAGUUGGGGGGUGAUGGGUGCCAGUGGGUGUUGGGUGCCAUUAGGGAGCAAUGGGUGCCAUUUGGGGUCAGUGGGUUCAGCUGGGGGGCAAUGGGUGCUGUUGGGUGCCAUUGGGGGGCAGUGGGUGCAGUUGGGCAGUGAUGGGUGCUGUUUAGAGGUGUUGGGUGCCAUUGGGGGGUGUUGGGUGCCAUUGGGUGUUGGGUGCCAUUUGGGGGGUGUUGGGUGCCAUUGGGGGGCGAUGGGUGCCAGUGGGGGGCAGUGAGUGCAGUUGGGUGCUGUUGAGUGCCACUGGGUGUUGGGUGCCAUUUAGAGUUGUUGGGUGCCAUUGGGGGGCAAUGGGUGCCAUUGGGGUGGCUGGGUGGUGGUGGGUGCCAUUGGGUGUUGGGUGCCAUUGGGGGGUGUUGGGUGCCAUUGGGGAGCAAUGGGUGCCAUUGGGGGUCAAUGACUUCAGCUGGGGGGGCAAUGGGUGCUGUUGGGUGCCGUUGGGGGGCAGUGGGUGCAGUUGGGUGGGGAUGGGUGCCGUUGGGCGUUGGGUGCCAUUUAGGGGUGUUGGGUGCCACUGGGGGGCAGUGGGUGCCAUUGGGAUGCCGGUGCCACGGGGCGAUGGUACCACAUGGUGCCACCCGGUGACCCUGCCCUGCGGCGCGGGUGCCGUCGCAGGCGGAGGUGCGGGAGGAUGACGCCGUCUUCUCCCUGGCCCCCCGGCCCGGGGCGCCCCCCGCCCGCCUGCUGCGCGCCGCCCCCCUGCCCCGCCUGGUGCGGCACCUGCUGGAGGCCCCGGCCCGCGGGGACGGAGCCUUCGUCCCCACCUUCCUCGCCACCUUCCGUGCCUUCACCCAGCCCCACGACGUCCUGCGCCUGCUGCUCGCCAGGCUGGAAGAAAUGGGGGGGCUCUCGGCAGCCCCCAGCUCCCCGGAGGUGGCUGAGGCCAAGGGGGCGCUGGCGGCGCUGCUCAGCGCCUGGCUGGAUGGGUACCCCGAGGACUUCGGGGGGCCCCCAGCCGCCCCCCUGGCCGAGCGCCUGGUGGGGGCGCUGGAGCCGGGCUCGGAAGCGGGGCGGCGCCUGGAGAACCUGCGGGGAGCCCCCCCUGAGCCCCCCGCCCCGCCGCCGGACGGGGACGGGGACGAGGACGGGGACGGGGACGGGGACGCCGACCCCCUGGACAUCCUCGCCUUCCAGGCGCAGGAGGUGGCCGAGCAGCUGACGCUGAUGGAGGCGGUGAGCACCCCAAAAAGCUGCACCCCAAAAGUCCUGCACCCCGAAAUCCUGUACCCUAAAAAAAACUACCCCAAAACUUCGUAUCCCGAAAAAAAACACCCAAAAAAUCCUUUAUCCUGAAAAAGUGCACCCCAAAAAUCCUGUAUACCAAAAAACUGCACCCUGAAAAAUCCUGUGUCCCCAAAAACUGCAUCCCAAAAGUCCUGUAUACCCCAAAUCCCCCCAAAACUGCACCAUGAAGAUCCUGUAUCCCCCAUAAAACACCCCAAAAAUCCUGUAUCCCAAAAAAAUGCACCCCCAAAAAAAUUCUGUAUCCCAAAACAAAACCCCCCAAAUCCUGCAUCCCCCCCAAAAAAACACCCCAAAAUCCUGUAUCCUGAAAAAAAACAACCCUAAUGUCCCUCGAUGUCCCCAUGUCACUGUCGUGUCCCCAUGUCCCUCCAUUCCCGUGUCCCUCGAUGUCCCCCAUGUCCCCAUCUCAGAGUCAUGUCCCCAUGUCCCCAUCCCCGUCUCCUUGUCCCCAUGUCCCCACAUCCAUGUCAUGUCCCCAUGUCCCCCAUCCCCACAUCCCUCCAUCCCCCUGUCCCCAUCUCCACCCCCUCUCCCCCCCCCCCCCCCUUCCCCUGU
RNAcentral lists this long non-coding RNA (2125 nucleotides) under Anser cygnoides (Swan goose). RNAcentral's name for it is "lncRNA (ENSACDG00005015343.1)". Lineage: Eukaryota; Metazoa; Chordata; Aves; Anseriformes; Anatidae. The record is from RNAcentral.